AGUGAACGCUGGCGGUAGGCCUAACACAUGCAAGUCGAACGGCAGCACAGUAAGAGCUUGCUCUUACGGGUGGCGAGUGGCGGACGGGUGAGGAAUACAUCGGAAUCUACUUUUUCGUGGGGGAUAACGUAGGGAAACUUACGCUAAUACCGCAUACGACCUACGGGUGAAAGCAGGGGAUCUUCGGACCUUGCGCGAUUGAAUGAGCCGAUGUCGGAUUAGCUAGUUGGCGGGGUAAAGGCCCACCAAGGCGACGAUCCGUAGCUGGUCUGAGAGGAUGAUCAGCCACACUGGAACUGAGACACGGUCCAGACUCCUACGGGAGGCAGCAGUGGGGAAUAUUGGACAAUGGGCGCAAGCCUGACCCAGCCAUACCGCGUGGGUGAAGAAGGCCUUCGGGUUGUAAAGCCCUUUUGUUGGGAAAGAAAAGCAGCAGGUUAAUACCCCGCUGUUCUGACGGUACCCAAAGAAUAAGCAACGGCUAACUUCGUG
RNAcentral lists this ribosomal RNA (492 nucleotides) under uncultured bacterium. RNAcentral's name for it is "partial 16S ribosomal RNA". It matches the Rfam family "Bacterial small subunit ribosomal RNA", at positions 29 to 507 of the family's 1533-position model. The record is from RNAcentral.